This 387-nucleotide ribosomal RNA is filed under the name Triticum aestivum (bread wheat). Its description in RNAcentral is "partial small subunit ribosomal RNA". Lineage: Eukaryota; Viridiplantae; Streptophyta; Magnoliopsida; Poales; Poaceae. The record is from RNAcentral.
AUGGGCUCUCUUUCCCGCGAUAUUCUUGCACAGGUCGCCACGUUACAUACGCCGGCCGAAGUUUGGCGUGCAAUUCAUGCCAUGUUUUCUGCUCAAAGUCAAGCCCAAGUCAUUAACACCGGCAUCGAGCUGACCAAUCUUCGGAAAGGUAAUAUGAGCAUGGCCGAGUAUCUUGGGAAAAUUAAAAGUCUCACAGAUGAAGUUGCCUGCACCGCCGCCGCGCUCUCCGAUCCGGAGAUCGUUUCCAAGAUUCUCGCCGGACUGGACAUGGAAUACAACCCUGUCGUCUCGGCGCUCGCUGCUCGGGUGGAACCGAUCACGGUUCAGGAGCUUUACAGCCAGCUCCUGAGCUUUGAUGCCCGUCUUAGCCUCCUUCACGGCAGCAAC